RNAcentral lists this ribosomal RNA (402 nucleotides) under bacterium. RNAcentral describes it as "partial 16S ribosomal RNA". It matches the Rfam family "Bacterial small subunit ribosomal RNA", at positions 355 to 776 of the family's 1533-position model. The record is from RNAcentral.
UGGGGAAUUUUGCACAAUGGGGGAAACCCUGAUGCAGCGACGCCGCGUGAUUUAGAAGGCCUUCGGGUUGUAAAAAUCUUUUCUAUGGGAAGAAAAUGACAGUACCAUAGGAAUAAGGACCGGCUAAUUACGUGCCAGCAGCCGCGGUAAUACGUAAGGUCCGAGCGUUGUCCGGAAUCAUUGGGCGUAAAGGGUACGUAGGCGGGUAAGCAAGUUAGAAGUGAAAUCCUAUAGCUCAACUAUAGUAAGCUUUUAAAACUGCUCAUCUUGAGGUAUGGAAGGGAAAGUGGAAUUUCUAGUGUAGCGGUGAAAUGCGCAGAUAUUAGGAGGAAUACCGGUGGCGAAGGCGACUUUCUGGCCAUAACCUGACGCUGAGGUACGAAAGCGUGGGUAGCAAACAGG